UAUGAGUUAGUGGCGGACGGGUGAGUAACGCGUGGGUAACCUGCCUUACACAGGGGGAUAACACCUGGAAACAGGUGCUAAUACCGCAUAAGCGCACAGGGCCGCAUGGCCCGGUGUGAAAAACUCCGGUGGUGUAAGAUGGACCCGCGUCUGAUUAGCUUGUUGGCGGGGUAGGGGCCCACCAAGGCGACGAUCAGUAGCCGGCCUGAGAGGGUGGACGGCCACAUUGGGACUGAGACACGGCCCAAACUCCUACGGGAGGCAGCAG
This 268-nucleotide ribosomal RNA is filed under the name uncultured bacterium. RNAcentral's name for it is "partial 16S ribosomal RNA". It matches the Rfam family "Bacterial small subunit ribosomal RNA", at positions 86 to 354 of the family's 1533-position model. The record is from RNAcentral.